ACGAACGCUGGCGGCGUGCUUAACCCCUGCAAGUCGAACGAUGAAGAAGAGAAACGCGAACUUCGGUUCAAAUUUCACUUCGGAUUAGUGGCAGACGGGUGAGUAACGCGUGAGCAACCUACCUCUUACAAAGGGAUAGCCUCGGGAAACCGUGAUUAAUACCAUAUGACACAUUCAUAAGGCAUCUUAAGAAUGUUAAAGCUACGGCGGUAAGAGAUGGGCUCGCGUCCCAUUAGCUAGUUGGUGAGGUAACGGCCCACCAAGGCGACGAUGGGUAACCGGCCUGAGAGGGUGAACGGUCACAGUGGAACUGAGACACGGUCCAAACUCCUACGGGAGGCAGCAGUGGGGAAUAUUGCACAAUGGAGGGAACUCUGAUGCAGCGACGCCGCGUGAGCGAUGAAGGAAUUCGUUUCGUAAAGCUCUGUUCUAUGGGAAGAAAAGGACUGUACCAUAGGAGAAAGCCCCGGCUAAAUACGUG
This 481-nucleotide ribosomal RNA is filed under the name uncultured bacterium. RNAcentral describes it as "partial 16S ribosomal RNA". It matches the Rfam family "Bacterial small subunit ribosomal RNA", at positions 29 to 507 of the family's 1533-position model. The record is from RNAcentral.